This 319-nucleotide ribosomal RNA is filed under the name uncultured Clostridium sp. RNAcentral's name for it is "bacterial SSU rRNA". It matches the Rfam family "Bacterial small subunit ribosomal RNA", at positions 28 to 339 of the family's 1533-position model. Lineage: Bacteria; Bacillati; Bacillota; Clostridia; Eubacteriales; Clostridiaceae. The record is from RNAcentral.
GAUGAACGCUGGCGGCAUGCCUAACACAUGCAAGUCGAACGGAGCUAUGAUGGAGCUUGCUUUUUAUAGCUUAGUGGCGGACGGGUGAGUAACGCGUGAGGAAUCUGCCCUCGAGUGGGGAAUAACACCGAGAAAUCGGUGCUAAUACCGCAUAACGUCUUUGGAUCGCAUGUUCUGAAGACCAAAGGAUUUAUUCGCUUGAGGAUGAUCUCGCGUCCGAUUAGUUAGUUGGUGAGGUAACGGCUCACCAAGACCGCGAUCGGUAGCCGAACUGAGAGGUUGAUCGGCCACAUUGGGACUGAGACACGGCCCAGACUCC